CAUAGCAGUCGAGCGGUAAGGCCCUUCGGGGUACACGAGCGGCGAACGGGUGAGUAACACGUGGGUGAUCUGCCCUGCACUUCGGGAUAAGCCUGGGAAACUGGGUCUAAUACCGGAUAUGACCAAAGGCUGCAUGGCUUUUGGUGGAAAGGUUUACUGGUGCAGGAUGGGCCCGCGGCCUAUCAGCUUGUUGGUGGAGUAAUGGCCUACCAAGGCGACGACGGGUAGCCGACCUGAGAGGGUGACCGGCCACACUGGGACUGAGACACGGCCCAGACUCCUACGGGAGGCAGCAGUGGGGAAUAUUGCACAAUGGGCGAAAGCCUGAUGCAGCGACGCCGCGUGAGGGAUGAAGGCCUUCGGGUUGUAAACCUCUUUCAGCAGGGACGAAGCGAAAGUGACGGUACCUGCAGAAGAAGCACCGGCUAACUACGUGCCACAGCCGCGGUAAUACGUAGGGUGCGAGCGUUGUCCGGAAUUACUGGGCGAAAGAGUUCGUAGGCGGUUUGUCACGUCGUCUGUGAAAACCCACCGCUCACGGUGGGCCUGCAGGCGAUACGGGCAGACUUGAGUACUGCAGGGGAGACUGGAAUUCCUGGUGUAGCGGUGAAAUGCGCAGAUAUCACGAGGAACACCGGUGGCGAAUGCGGGUCUCUGGGCAGUAACUGACGCUGACGAACGAAUGCGUGGGUAGCAUACAGGAUUAGAUACUCUGGUAGUCCACGCCGCAGACAGUGGGCGCUAGAUGUGAGUCCCUUACACGGAAUCUGUGUCGUAGCUAACGCAUUAAGCGCCCCGCCUGCGGAGUACGGCCGCCAGGCUCAAACUCAGAUUGAUUGAUCGGC
This 845-nucleotide ribosomal RNA is filed under the name uncultured Actinomycetes bacterium. RNAcentral describes it as "bacterial SSU rRNA". It matches the Rfam family "Bacterial small subunit ribosomal RNA", at positions 54 to 918 of the family's 1533-position model. Lineage: Bacteria; Bacillati; Actinomycetota; Actinomycetes. The record is from RNAcentral.